GGCAGACGGGUGAGUAACAUGUAGGUAUCUACCCUUUGGCCUGGAAUAACACGAGGAAACUUGUGCUAAUACCGGAUAAGUCUUUACAGAGAAAGCUUUAUGCACCAUUGGAUGAGCCUGCACUUGAUUAGUUUGUUGGUGGGGUAAUGGCCUACCAAGACUUUGAUCAAUAGCUGAUUUGAGAGGAUGAUCAGCCACAUUGGGACUGAGACACGGCCCAAACUCCUACGGGAGGCAGCAGUGGGGAAUCUUGCACAAUGGAGGAAACUCUGAUGCAGCGAUGCCGCGUGAGUGAAGAAGGCCUUUGGGUUGUAAAGCUCUUUCUUCGGGGAAGAAAAUGACUGUACCCGAAUAAGAAGGUCCGGCUAACUUCGUGCCAGCAGCCGCGGUAAUACGAAGGGACCUAGCGUAGUUCGGAAUUACUGGGCUUAAAGAGUUCGUAGGUGGUUGAAAAAGUUGGUGGUGAAAUCCCAGAGCUUAACUCUGGAACUGCCAUCAAAACUUUUCAGCUAGAGUUUGAUAGAGGAAAGCAGAAUUUCUAGUGUAGAGGUGAAAUUCGUAGAUAUUAGAAAGAAUACCAAUUGCGAAGGCAGCUUUCUGGAUCAUUACUGACACUGAGGAACGAAAGCAUGGGUAGCGAAGAGGAUUAGAUACCCUCGUAGUCCAUGCCGUAAACGAUGUGUGUUAGACGUUGGAAAUUUAUUUUCAGUGUCACAGCGAAAGCGAUAAACACAC
This 735-nucleotide ribosomal RNA is filed under the name uncultured marine bacterium. RNAcentral's name for it is "bacterial SSU rRNA". It matches the Rfam family "Bacterial small subunit ribosomal RNA", at positions 97 to 869 of the family's 1533-position model. The record is from RNAcentral.